GAUGAACGCUGGCGGCGUGCCUAGUACAUGCAAGUCGAGCGAACGGACGAGAAGCUUGCUUCUCUGAUGUUAGCGGCGGACGGGUGAGUAACACGUGGAUAACCUACCUAUAAGACUGGGAUAACUUCGGGAAACCGUAGCUAAUACCGGAUAAUAUUUUGAACCGCAUGGUUCAGAAGUGAAAGACGGUCUUGCUGUCACUUAUAGAUGGAUCCGCGCUGCAUUAGCUAGUUGGUAAGGUAACGGCUUACCAAGGCAACGAUGCAUAGCCGACCUGAGAGGGUGAUCGGCCACACUGGAACUGAGACACGGUCCAGACUCCUACGGGAGGCAGCAGUAGGGAAUCUUCCGCAAUGGGCGAAAGCCUGACGGAGCAACGCCGCGUGAGUGAUGAAGGUCUUCGGAUCGUAAAACUCUGUUAUUAGGGAAGAACAUAUGUGUAAGUAACUGUGCACAUCUUGACGGUACCUAAUCAGAAAGCCACGGCUAACUACGUG
Molecule: ribosomal RNA, 497 nt
Filed under: uncultured bacterium
Lineage: Bacteria
Description: partial 16S ribosomal RNA
Rfam family: Bacterial small subunit ribosomal RNA
Source: RNAcentral